This 369-nucleotide unclassified non-coding RNA is filed under the name Hevea brasiliensis (rubber tree). Lineage: Eukaryota; Viridiplantae; Streptophyta; Magnoliopsida; Malpighiales; Euphorbiaceae. The record is from RNAcentral.
AGUCUAGUAUGGCCACUCAUCCAAAUUAAAAACCUUUUUCAACAAAAAUUAAAAGCUAGUUCAUUUAAAAUAAACAGUUCCUGCACCUAGCAGGAUCACAAGCUGACAAAAUAAAAGAAAUUAAAAAGAAGUGUAUACUAAGCGUUAUAAUAACUUACACAUCACUUCAGCCUAAUUCAUGUUAUAUUAAAAAACGAGGAAAAACAUAUAAUUAUAUAACAAGUUAUUACUAUUUACUAUUUGAUGUGGGGCAUGUUUUUUAAACCAGAAAAACACAUGCCCACCUCGAGUACCAGGCCCUGCCACACACCCAGGUAGGUUGGUGUCCUGUCCAGCAGAGUGCAGUUACUGUUUUUUUUUUUUUUUUUU